CAAGUCGCGAACAAAGGAUUUGGAUGCUAGAGGGGAGUUAUAAGGGGCUUAAAAUCAGACCUCAAAACCAAUUGGAGAGGAAUUUUCCUGAGGAUAGACGCUCGACUCAUCGCUCUGCAGAUUUCCCUUCUCCUGCGAGACUCAGCCUGGCGAGCACGAUUGCUUGGCGACUGGUUGGCGACUUUGCUUCGGGAGAGUUCGUGGCGAUCUCUUUAGACGGGUUACAGGGUCAUCGAUACACCGUGCAUCAACAAAUUUCCCUUCUCCAGCGAGACUCAGCCUGGCGAGCACGAUUGCUUGGCGACUGGUUGGCGACUUUGCUUCGGGAGAGUUCGUGGCGUUCUCUUUAGACAGGUUACAGGGUCAUCGAUACGCCGUGCAUCAACAAAUUUCCCUUCUCCUGCGAGACUCAGCCUGGCGAGCACGAUUGCUUGGCGACUGGUUGGCGACUUUGCUUCGGGAGAGUUCGUGGCGAUCUCUUUAGACGGGUUACAGGGUCAUCGAUACACCGUGCAUCAACAAAUUUCCCUUCUCCUGCGAGCCACAGCCUGGCGAGCACGAUUGCUUGGCGACUGGUUGGCGACUUUGCUUCGGGAGAGUUCGUGGCGAUCUCUUUAGACGGGUUACAGGGUCAUCGAUACACCGUGCAUCAACAAAUUUCCCUUCUCCUGCGAGACUCAGCCUGGCGAGCACGAUUGCUUGGCGACUGGUUGGCGACUUUGCUUCGGGAGAGUUCGUGGCGAUCUCUUUAGACGGGUUACAGGGUCAUCGAUACACCGUGCAUCAACAAGUGGAUGCUGAGAAAUCGCUGCUGGAGUGGCUGGAGGGUCAAAGUUUUGAGGACUUCUGUUAACUCUUGAAGUCCUGGAAUGUGCAUGUUUGUGUCUCUGUUAGAUCAAUCGAUAAGGUAAACAUUAUUAUUUCCGUGAUUUCCAGUACUCCAAGCUAGAGCGAUGUUGUGAAUGCUCUAUGAUGUGUUGGGAUAAAAAGGAAUUCCUUUUAAGCUCCAGAAGUGUUCACUUAUUUCAGGAUGACAACAAUUUUAUACUUCCACAGAUGCGUUGCUUCGUCUGGUGGUUGUAUCAUCGGGACUGUUAAAUGUGUGGUGUUUAUGGUAGAAGGUGCCACGUGUUGUCAUCUUCUCACAGCUACUUGAGUGUUGAAGUUGCUUCUAGACUUC
Petromyzon marinus (sea lamprey) is the source of this 1180-nucleotide non-coding RNA. The record is from RefSeq and is a predicted model, not a curated record. Lineage: Eukaryota; Metazoa; Chordata; Hyperoartia; Petromyzontiformes; Petromyzontidae.